AGCAGUAGCCGCGGGAAUACGUAGGGUGCAAGCGUUAAUCGGAAUUACUGGGCGUAAAGCGUGCGCAGGCGGUUAUAUAAGACAGAUGUGAAAUCCCCGGGCUCAACCUGGGAACUGCAUUUGUGACUGUAUAGCUAGAGUACGGCAGAGGGGGAUGGAAUUCCGCGUGUAGCAGUGAAAUGCGUAGAUAUGCGGAGGAACACCGAUGGCGAAGGCAAUCCCCUGGGCCUGUACUGACGCUCAUGCACGAAAGCGUGGGGAGCAAACAGGAUUAGAUACCCGUGUAGUCCCUGUCUCUUAUAC
This 303-nucleotide ribosomal RNA is filed under the name uncultured bacterium. RNAcentral describes it as "partial 16S ribosomal RNA". It matches the Rfam family "Bacterial small subunit ribosomal RNA", at positions 507 to 807 of the family's 1533-position model. The record is from RNAcentral.